Long non-coding RNA from Rosa chinensis, 521 nucleotides. RefSeq lists it as uncharacterized. NCBI's taxonomy places the organism in Eukaryota, Viridiplantae, Streptophyta, Magnoliopsida, Rosales, Rosaceae. The transcript is spliced from 3 exons. The record is from RefSeq and is a predicted model, not a curated record.
UUUCGUGGUUCCAUUGCCUGCUGAGGGGCAGUGUUGUAACCUUGGAGCCCAUAAAACAAUGAUCUAUGUUCAGUAUUCACCGCCAAAGAUCGAAGAAGCUUAACUAGAUCGAAGAUGAAGAAGAUAAGUGUUCUAGUUCUAGUGUUGGUUCUAUGCGUGAUGACCUCUAAUGUGAAGCAGAGCCUUGCUCAGGUUGACUGCUACGAUGCUUGUUCCACUGGCUGUGUUUCAUAUAUAAACAACCCGAGGCUUAUGUCACGAUGUGAUCGCAAAUGCCAGAUUAAAUGUGGUCCAGAUUCUCAAGUUGAGGAGAAUUUUCAUUGAGAGGCAAAGAUAACUGCGAGCAAACCAUGAAUCAAGUUGCAAAGGAGAAUAGGGUUAAACUUACAAGCAAACGCUAAUAACGUGCAACUGUAUGUUUCUUUUGGUUCUGUUCUCAAUGAAAUAAGUACCAAAUUUCUUUCAGUCCUUAUGUGGGACCUAAUAAAAUUUCGGUUUCCUUGUGAGAUCAUUAUAUUAAC